GAUGAACGCUGGCGGCGUGCCUAAUACAUGCAAGUCGAGCGAACGGACGAUAAGCUUGCUUCUCUGAUGUUAGCGGCGGACAGGUGAGUAACACGUGUAUAACCUACCUAUAAGACUGGGAUAACUUCGGGAAACCGGAUCUAGUACCGGAUAAUAUUUUGAACCGCAUGGUUCAAAAGUGAAAGACGGUCUUGCUGUCACUUAUAGAUAGAUCCGCGCUGGAUUAGCUAGUUGGUAAGGUAACGGCUUACCAAGGCAACGAUGCAUAGCCGACCUGAGAGGGUGAUCGACCACACUGGAACUGAGACACGGUCCAGACUCCUACGGGAGGCAGCAGAAGCGCAUCUUCCGCAAUGGGCGAAGGCAUGACGGAGCAACGCCGCGUGAGUGAUGAAGGUCUUCGGAUCGUAAAACUCUGUUAUUAGGGAAGAACAUAUGUGUAAGUAACUGUGCACAUCUUGACGGUACUUAAUCAGAAAGCCACGGCUAACUACGUG
This 497-nucleotide ribosomal RNA is filed under the name uncultured bacterium. RNAcentral describes it as "partial 16S ribosomal RNA". It matches the Rfam family "Bacterial small subunit ribosomal RNA", at positions 28 to 507 of the family's 1533-position model. The record is from RNAcentral.